This 404-nucleotide ribosomal RNA is filed under the name uncultured bacterium. Its description in RNAcentral is "partial 16S ribosomal RNA". It matches the Rfam family "Bacterial small subunit ribosomal RNA", at positions 30 to 526 of the family's 1533-position model. The record is from RNAcentral.
AUUGAACGCUGGCGGCAGGCCUAACACAUGCAAGUCGGGCGAGCGGCGGACGGGUGAGUAAUGCCUGGGAAUUGCCCAGUCGAGGGGGAUAACAGUUGGAAACGACUGCUAAUACCGCAUACGAUUGGAUUGCCCAGGUGGGAUUAGCUAGUUGGUGAGGUCAUUGCUCACCAAGGAGACGAUCCCUAGCUGGUCUGAGAGGAUGAUCAGCCACAAGGGGACUGAGACACGGGCCAAACUCCUACGGGAGGCAGCAGUGGGGAAUAUUGCACAAUGGGGGAAACCCUGAUGCAGCCAUGCCGCGUGUGUGAAGAAGGCCUUCGGGUUGUAAAGCACUGUCAGCGAGGAGGCGUUACUCGCAGAGGAAGCACCGGCUAACUCCGUGCCAGCAGCCGCGGUAAUAC